Molecule: ribosomal RNA, 253 nt
Filed under: uncultured bacterium
Lineage: Bacteria
Description: partial 16S ribosomal RNA
Rfam family: Bacterial small subunit ribosomal RNA
Source: RNAcentral
UACGGAGGAUGCAAGCGUUAUCCGGAUUCAUUGGGUUUAAAGGGUGCGUAGGCGGGCUGACAAGUCAGGGGUGAAAUCUUUCGGCUUAACCGGGAAAUUGCCAUAGAAACUGUCAGUCUUGAGUCAGGUUGAGGUAGGCGGAAUGUGUAAUGUAGAGGUGAAAUGCUUAGAUAUUACACAGAACACCGAUUGCGUAGGCAGCUUACUGGACCGGCACUGACGCUGAGGCACGAAAGCGUGGGGAGCGAACAGG